CCCAAACUGAGCUGCAGCGGCCAUCUUCUUCCAAGACCAGCAACUUCACUUCUACGGGAAAAUGACUAUUCAUUGGUAUUUGGCGUAAUCUCAGACCUAGAGGGGCGAGAAUAACGGCCUGAAGGUGCUUCAGUACGGGACGACGGACAAGACGGGUUGCUCACAAUGGCCUAGUGUGCCCUGUAGUGAACAGGCGAGGGCAGCUCUUUGCACGGCUGAUCGGCACUUUCCCUUACAAGCCGCCUGACCCAGACUCGGAGCUGCCGUCGGCCAGCCUGCCAUCCGCACGAGAGGCCCCGCUGCUCUUCUCCGCGUCAAAAGCAGCGUAGUACGUGGGAAGCACUGAGGGUCCGAGGCUCAGUUCUUGCUGGUAGACCCCUGACUCCUUCCCGCAGGAGAAAUGGAGCCUCAGGGGCUGCUGGAUAUAGAGGGUGAUGCAAGGAUGCUGGGGCUGCUGGUUCCCAGUCCACAGAGUGAGACAGUGACCCACGAGCUGGAGGAACUGUCGCUGCAGUCCACCCAGAACCUGCCAACCCUCAACGAACGCA
This is a non-coding RNA of Paramormyrops kingsleyae, 548 nucleotides long. The record is from RefSeq and is a predicted model, not a curated record. Lineage: Eukaryota; Metazoa; Chordata; Actinopteri; Osteoglossiformes; Mormyridae.